Molecule: transfer RNA, 74 nt
Filed under: Allopseudospirillum japonicum
Lineage: Bacteria; Pseudomonadati; Pseudomonadota; Gammaproteobacteria; Oceanospirillales; Oceanospirillaceae
Description: Pseudospirillum japonicum tRNA
Rfam family: tRNA
About the family: Transfer RNA (tRNA) molecules are approximately 80 nucleotides in length. Their secondary structure includes four short double-helical elements and three loops (D, anti-codon, and T loops).
Source: Rfam by way of RNAcentral
GCGCCCAUAGCUCAACCGGACAGAGCAACGGCCUUCUAAGCCGUGGGUUGCAGGUUCGAGUCCUGCUGGGCGCG